GGCUGCUGGGAGGUGGUGGAGCUGCAACCGGGAGUGGAAGAGGGAGGGGGAGAUAAUCGUCUCAUCCGUGUUGAGGUUUCUCAUUGACUACUCAUCUGGGUUCCAUUUUUGACUUUUCAAUUUCUUUCGUCAGGGUGUACCUUCUACAAGACGGCAUGAUGCAUAUCACAUAAAAAGGCGUUAACGGAGCGACCUUCAAUUCUUGUCUUUCAAUUCCUUCCCUCAUUUUUGUGUAUGUAUGUCUUGGUGGGUUAUGCUAAUAUGAAUACGAAAUACAUACUAUUUUAUAGAUAUAUAUUCCGACUCUCGAACGCCCUCUUAGCUUUGCUUAUAACCUUGAUUUUGUGAAAAAAGAG
This 356-nucleotide small RNA is filed under the name Histoplasma capsulatum var. duboisii H88. RNAcentral describes it as "Histoplasma capsulatum H88 hypothetical RNA". The record is from RNAcentral. Lineage: Eukaryota; Fungi; Ascomycota; Eurotiomycetes; Onygenales; Ajellomycetaceae.